UGGGGAAUUUUGGACAAUGGGCGAAAGCCUGAUCCAGCAAUGCCGCGUGUGUGAAGAAGGCCUUCGGGUUGUAAAGCACUUUUGUCCGGAAAGAAAUCCUCUGGGUUAAUACCUCGGGGGGAUGACGGUACCGGAAGAAUAAGCACCGGCUAACUACGUGCCAGCAGCCGCGGUAAUACGUAGGGUGCAAGCGUUAGUCGGAAUUACUGGGCGUAAAGCGUGCGCAGGCGGUUUUGUAAGACGGAUGUGAAAUCCCCGGGCUUAACCUGGGAACUGCAUUCGUGACUGCAAGGCUAGAGUAUGGCAGAGGGGGGUAGAAUUCCACGUGUAGCAGUGAAAUGCGUAGAGAUGUGGAGGAAUACCGAUGGCGAAGGCAGCCCCCUGGGCCAAUACUGACGCUCAUGCACGAAAGCGUGGGGAGCAAACAGGAUUGGAUACCCUGGUAGUCCACGCCCUAAACGAUGUCAACUAGUUGUUGGGGAUUCAUUUCCUUAGUAACGUAGCUAACGCGUGAAGUUGACCGCCUGGGGGAGUACGGUCGCAAGAUUAAAACUCAAAGGAAUUGACGGGGUCAUAGCUGUUUCCUG
RNAcentral lists this ribosomal RNA (587 nucleotides) under uncultured bacterium. RNAcentral's name for it is "partial 16S ribosomal RNA". It matches the Rfam family "Bacterial small subunit ribosomal RNA", at positions 355 to 1376 of the family's 1533-position model. The record is from RNAcentral.